UUGGAGGGCAAGUCUGGUGCCAGCAGCCGCGGUAAUUCCAGCUCCAAUAGCGUAUAUUAAAGUUGUUGCAGUUAAAAAGCUCGUAGUUGAAUUUCGAGACCGGCUUAUUGGUCGUGCUAUUGUACGUACUGGUAUAAUCGGUUUCUCCUUUCUGACGAACUAUAAUGCAUUAAUUUGGUGUUUUAGGGAAUCAGGACUGUUACUUUGAAAAAAUUAGAGUGUUUAAAGCAGGCUCACGCUUGAAUACAUUAGCAUGGAAUAACGGAAUAGGACGUUUGAUUCUAUUUUGUUGGUUUCUAGGAUCGACGUAAUGAUUAAUAGGGAUAGUUGGGGGUAUUAGUAUUCAAUUGUCAGAGGUGAAAUUCUUGGAUUUAUUGAAGACUAACUACUGCGAAAGCAUUUGCCAAGGAUGUUUUCAUUAAUCAAGAACGAAAGUUAGGGGAUCGAAGACGAUCAGAUACCGUCGUAGUCUUAACCAUAAACUAUGCCGACUAGGGAUCUGAUGAUGUUAAUUUUUUAAUGACUCAUUCGGCGCCUUACGGGAAAC
This 547-nucleotide ribosomal RNA is filed under the name uncultured Glomus. RNAcentral describes it as "SSU rRNA". It matches the Rfam family "Eukaryotic small subunit ribosomal RNA", at positions 548 to 1098 of the family's 1831-position model. Lineage: Eukaryota; Fungi; Glomeromycota; Glomeromycetes; Glomerales; Glomeraceae. The record is from RNAcentral.